CCUACGGGGGGCAGCAGUGGGGAAUAUUGGACAAUGGGGGGAACCCUGAUCCAGCCAUGCCGCGUGUGUGAAGAAGGCCCUCGGGUUGUAAAGCACUUUCAGUGAGGAAGAACGCCUGGUGGUUAAUACCCAUCAGGAAAGACAUCACUCACAGAAGAAGCACCGGCUAACUCCGUGCCAGCAGCCGCGGUAAUACGGAGGGUGCGAGCGUUAAUCGGAAUUACUGGGCGUAAAGCGCGCGUAGGUGGCUUGAUAAGCCGGUUGUGAAAGCCCCGGGCUCAACCUGGGAACGGCAUCCGGAACUGUCAAGCUAGAGUGCAGGAGAGGAAGGUAGAAUUCCCGGUGUAGCGGUGAAAUGCGUAGAGAUCGGGAGGAAUACCAGUGGCGAAGGCGACCUUCUGGACUGACACUGACACUGAGGUGCGAAAGCGUGGGUAGCAAACAGGAUUAGAUACCCUGGUAGUC
RNAcentral lists this ribosomal RNA (465 nucleotides) under Vreelandella stevensii. Its description in RNAcentral is "partial 16S ribosomal RNA". It matches the Rfam family "Bacterial small subunit ribosomal RNA", at positions 338 to 795 of the family's 1533-position model. The record is from RNAcentral. Lineage: Bacteria; Pseudomonadati; Pseudomonadota; Gammaproteobacteria; Oceanospirillales; Halomonadaceae.